This 114-nucleotide ribosomal RNA is filed under the name Populus tomentosa. The record is from RNAcentral. Lineage: Eukaryota; Viridiplantae; Streptophyta; Magnoliopsida; Malpighiales; Salicaceae.
GCGAUUAUACCAGCACUAAUGCACCGGAUCCCAUAAGAACUCCGCAGUUAAACGUGCUUGGGCGAGAGUAGUACUACGAGGGGUGACCUCCUGGGAAGUCCACGUGUUGGACCG